This 571-nucleotide ribosomal RNA is filed under the name Ctenarytaina fuchsiae. RNAcentral describes it as "SSU rRNA". It matches the Rfam family "Eukaryotic small subunit ribosomal RNA", at positions 48 to 557 of the family's 1831-position model. The record is from RNAcentral. Lineage: Eukaryota; Metazoa; Arthropoda; Insecta; Hemiptera; Aphalaridae.
GCCAUGCAUGUCUCAGUGCAGCCGUACGCGCUCGCGCGUCUAGGUGAAACCGCGAAAGGCUCAUUAAAUCAGUUAUGGUUCCUUGGAUCGUACCUCUAGUUACUUGGAUAACUGUGGUAAUUCUAGAGCUAAUACAUGCCGACAGAGUUCCAACCGCCUAAUCAGCGGGAGGAACGCUUUUAUUAGAUCAAAACCAUUCGACGGGGCGUUUCGGCGUCUCGUCGCAAACACACGAUUUUCGAAUCGUUCAAGUGGUGACUCUGAAUAACUUUGAGCUGAUCGCACGGUCUCAGUACUGGCGAUGCAUCUUUCAAAUGUCUGCCUUAUCAACUGUCGAUGGUAGGUUAUGCGCCUACCAUGGUGGUAACGGGUGACGGGGGAUCAGGGUUCGAUUCCGGAGAGGGAGCCUGAGAAACGGCUACCACAUCCAAGGAAGGCAGCAGGCACGCAAAUUACCCACUCCCAGCUCAGGGGAGGUAGUGACGAAAUAUAACGAUACGGGACUCAUCCGAGGCCUCGUAAUCGGAAUGAGUACACUUUAAAAUGUUUAGCGAGGAUCCAUUGGAGGGCA